This 465-nucleotide ribosomal RNA is filed under the name uncultured Bacillus sp. RNAcentral describes it as "bacterial SSU rRNA". It matches the Rfam family "Bacterial small subunit ribosomal RNA", at positions 338 to 795 of the family's 1533-position model. Lineage: Bacteria; Bacillati; Bacillota; Bacilli; Caryophanales; Bacillaceae. The record is from RNAcentral.
CCUACGGGCGGCAGCAGUAGGGAAUCUUCCGCAAUGGACGAAAGUCUGACGGAGCAACGCCGCGUGAACGAAGAAGGCCUUCGGGUCGUAAAGUUCUGUUGUUAGGGAAGAACAAGUACCAGAGUAACUGCUGGUACCUUGACGGUACCUAACCAGAAAGCCACGGCUAACUACGUGCCAGCAGCCGCGGUAAUACGUAGGUGGCAAGCGUUGUCCGGAAUUAUUGGGCGUAAAGCGCGCGCAGGUGGUUCCUUAAGUCUGAUGUGAAAGCCCACGGCUCAACCGUGGAGGGUCAUUGGAAACUGGGGAACUUGAGUGCAGAAGAGGAAAGUGGAAUUCCAAGUGUAGCGGUGAAAUGCGUAGAGAUUUGGAGGAACACCAGUGGCGAAGGCGACUUUCUGGUCUGUAACUGACACUGAGGCGCGAAAGCGUGGGGAGCAAACAGGAUUAGAUACCCCGGUAGUC